AAGUCGUAACAAGGUUUCCGUAGGUGAACCUGCGGAAGGAUCAUCAAUGAAAAAAUCCAGCCAAAACACUUGGGCAUUCUAGCCUGGUUGGUUGUCAUUUUUGACAUCAAGUAGGUCUAAGUUUUUUUAGACCAGGGAAUUGACGGAAAAAAAAUUAGACCAGAAAUUGGUCAAGGUAAACUUUCAGGUUCAAGUUUAACUCUUGACCUGAUAUUUACACUAGAAAAAAAACAACUUUCGGCAACGGAUCUCUCGGCUCUCC
RNAcentral lists this unclassified non-coding RNA (262 nucleotides) under fungal sp. RNAcentral's name for it is "partial internal transcribed spacer region". The stretch from base 1 to 46 matches the Rfam family "Eukaryotic small subunit ribosomal RNA", at positions 1786 to 1831 of the family's 1831-position model. Lineage: Eukaryota; Fungi. The record is from RNAcentral.